AGCAUUGCAAACACGCUCCCCCCCAAACCACAAACGCGCCCCCACACACUCGCUUACUUUCCCUCACAAAGAUGCCCGCUUACACGGCCACAGCAGGCACGCUCAGAGACACGCAGUUACACACACACAUCGCUGUACACAACCCCACAUACAAUCAAAAAACAAAACACGAAACGUUCCCCUGGGCACUAAAUCCUCACGUUAACGUACACACACAAACACACGCCCUCCUCUCCCACUUCCUCUUCCAUACCCCUUCCUCGAGGCCCCCCACCCCUGAUUUUCGGCACCCCCAGUCCCAAUCAUAAUUGGCGCCCGCGCAGCCCUCUUUGGACACACACGCGCCGCCCACGCACGCGCUCCCCUCCCCGGCAGGCGGGGGCGGCUUCGGCCGGGAGCCGGCGGAGCCCGCUUCGGAUUCCAGGUGUGGCAGUGACUCCGCGCUCCACGUUUUGCAGGCUGCCACCGUGUCGGAGGCGAGGCGAGGAAGGGAGCUGGAAUAACAAAGGCAAGUAAUGGGGUAGAUUGGAUACCUCUGGGGUCUUGGAAGAAGCUAUGACUUAUUUACUGUCUACUAUGUGGUGAGUACUGUGGUGGGUCCUCCUAGGUAUUGAGAAUUCAGUUCCCUGAUUGAACUGUCACAUUGUCUUAAGUUAGGUGCCGCUACCAUCCCCCUUUCAGAGGAAACUCAACUGUGAAUGACUUGCCCAAGAUUGGUCAGGAUGGGAACUCGGGCCCCCAUGAACAGAGUUUCCUGUUGUCCCCUCAGCCCUGGCUCUGUUCAUCCAUAGACUGUGUAGCCCCAAGCAAGCUGCUUUCCCCCUCUGAGCCCCUGUAAGGUCCAUGGUGCCAUCAGGACUCACUGGGAACUGUGUGUCCAACAACCUCACCCCCAAAGUCUCAGCCUCACUGGGCCUGGAGAUCUGCUGGUGAGACAAGAGAGGACAGUGCCAUCACUUCCUCGUGGCCCAGAGCUGGAAGAUGCAUCCUGCUCAGCCCCUGCAGGCCCAGAAGUCACCUGGCUCCACUAGGAGGGCAUGGGCAGUGUGGGGCCGCCAGGUUGUACCAACCUUCAGAGCACACUCAAGUGCUGUUAAUUUCCCUGUCCUGUGGGAGCCACCAGCAGAUUGGGGAGAGGACCAUUGCUGGGGCCUGGGCCCAGGUUUCAGGAGGCAGAAAAUCUGGAGGCCAGCAGGAUGGUGGGGGUGGGAGGCUUGAGGUCCCUGAGGGAAGCAAAGGACUUGUGUAGGGUGCGGCGAGUAUGGCCUCCUAGGCUGGGCUGGGAUGGGGGCGGGUACACAGUGGGGAUUCCCACCUGUCCAGGAGCUGCCUUCUCUGUCCCCACUCUCCACCUCUCACUUCUGGAACUUAAGGGAGCCAGGGAACAUCUAAAAUUGAGACUAGAGAGGUGGGAAGAAAAUCUCAUUCAUUGAGUACUUACUGUAUGCCACGCACUUUGGAAACAUUCGUUGUAUUCUCUCCACAAGCCAGGUGUCAUUCCCUGCUAAGGGAAGAGGCUCAGAGAGGUUAAGUGACCUGCUCAAGAUCUCAUAGCUGGCUGAGCAUGGUGGCUCAUGCCUGUAAUCUGUGCACUUUAGGAGGCCAAGGCAGGGUAGAUCACUUGAGCUCAGGAGUUCGAGACCAGCCUGGGCAACAUAGCAAGACCUUGCCUCUACAAAAAAUACAAAAAUUAACCAGGCAUGGUGGCACAUACCUGUAGUCCCAGCUAUUUGGGAAGCUGAGGUCGGAGGAUCACUUGAUCCUGGGAGGCUGAGGCUGUAGUGAGCCAUGAUUGUGCCACUGCACUCCAGACUGGGCAACAGGGCAUGACCCUGUCUCAUAAAAACGAAACAAAACAAUAAAGAUCUCAGAGCUGCUAAGUGGGUGGAGCCGAGAUUGGGCUCCAGGUUGGGCUGGGCCUUGAGGUUGAGAAUAGGGACUUGCCCUCAUCUCACUGCCAGGUUAUGGUGCAGAUAAGGUAACCUACCAGGUACUUUGGGGUGAAGUAAAGACUCUCACCCACUUGCCAGGGAAUGACCAGGGUGCCUCCCAUGGCAGUGAGGUAAUGGAGAUUACAUUUAGAGUUCACCCCUUGGUGGAUACAGGAAGCAUUUGGGCCCUGCCCAGCUCUGAGCCCUGUGCCUCUAAGAGGUGAGUGGUUGGGUCAAGCAGGGAAGAUCUAUGUCCUUCAGCGAAUUAGGCUCCCCUGCUCUGCCUCCCCCUCAUUUCCAAUCAGAUGGCCCCUCCAUUCUCUGAGCCCACACCUUCCCAUCCUCCAAGGCUUGACUCUCCAAUGUCCUUCCCUCAAGCCAGCCGUCUUCUCACUUUCUACCAUGGAGUUCUGCCCUAUGGUUCGAGACCCAGUUCAACCACCAACCCCUUCUUCAGAUGGGAGUCACAAGAGAAUAGGCUGGGAGCCUGCCUCAGGAGCCGGGACACCUAUGUGCCCAGCCCGCCAUUGCCUGACUUGCUGUGUGGCCUGAGCACAUCACAAACUCUCCCUGUGCCUGUUCCCCAUCUGCCAAGUGAGAGAGUGUGGGAUAUCCACCAGCACUUUUGCCUCUGAUUGUCCUAAGAUUCUGUAGGUCUGAGCCUUUAACCCUUGGACUGAGCUACAGUUCACUUUAGAGUUUGAGGGCGGCCCUGCUUUAGGGAGGGCUUUCAGAGGGGGCCAUUUAGUGGAGUAGGGACAAGAAAAUACCUGGAGGGAGCUGCUCAGAACUGUGACUAUCUAGGACUGUGAAUAGGUAAUGACCCUAACGCCUCCCUUCAUGAGGCACCUCUCACCCUCUGAGCCUCACAACAGCCCUUUUGUGGGUGACUAAGCUGAGCCCCAAAAGGAGGUGAUGGCUUUCCCUGACUGCACCACUGGGAAGCACCAGAGCUGGAACAAGAGCCAGGUCUCAGCCAGGCAUGGUGGCACAUGCCUGUAGUCCCAGCAACUCGGUGGGGGGACAAGAGGGGGUGCAAGAGCCACAUCUCCUCAUGCAGUGUCCCCUCACCUGCGUCAGGGCCCCUCCAGAGGAGCAAGUACAUGCGGCACUGAUGAGGAAGUCUGGGACAAGCGACCUGAGGAGGACCAUGCCUCCCACUUCCUUCCUGAUAGCUCCUGCACCCCGAGAGGGGUGGGGGAAGGUCUCAGAUCCUCAGCAUCUCUCCUCCUUCUGGCUGUGCAGUCCUCCAGCCUCAAGACUCAUGCUUCCUUGCCCUCACCUCAUCCUGUGGCCAUGCAGGGUGACUUCCAGAAUUGCCAGCAUUAUGUACAUACUCUUACCUCUGUGCCAUUGCUCAUGCUCUUCCUACCUCCUGGGACACACCCCUCCCAGUCACCAAGGCCACAUCUGCAACCACUUGCUUGGAAGCCUACCCUGAUACCUCCACCAGAUGUGCCGUCUUCCUUGUCUUAACCCCCAUAUGCUGCUCUCCCAGCCUCCAACAUCAGCAUAACCAUAGGAAUUACUUGUGAAGUUCCUGCUAUGUUCCAGGCAUUGAGUAGCUCAUACACAUGAACUCCUCCCAUCCUCUGAGCUAUUAGUAUUCUCAUUUUACAGAUGAGGAAACUGAGGCACAGGGAGUUUCAUUUCCUAGUAUGACACCUCACAGGCUAGGGAGGUAUUGUGUUACAUGGCCCUCUUCUGUCAAGGCUGCAGGUCAUAGGAUGGCUCACUGCUACAUCCCAUCACCCAGUGCAAGGCCUUGGGGGCUGACAGGCCAUCCGGAGCAGGGGAGGUAUAGAGGCCCACAGGAUGGAGGAUGACCAGAACCAGCCCUCUGGGGGCUCACAGUCUCUCAGGAAGGACUGCCCACACCAAAUGCCAUUCUUUUUUUUUUUUUUUUUUCUUGAGACAGAGUUUUGCUCUGUCGCCCAGGCUGGAGUGUGCAGUGGUGAGAUCUCGGCUCACUGCAAGCUCCGCCUCCCAGGUUCACACCAUUCUCCUGCCUCAGCCUCCCGAGUAGCUGGGACUAUGCCACCAUACCCGGCUAAUUUUUUGUGUUUUUAGUAGAGAUGGGGUUUCACCAUGUUAACCAGGAUGGUCUGCAUCUCCUGACCUCAUUAUCCACCCGCCUUGGCCCCCCAAAGUGCUGGGAUUAUAGGCAUGAGCCACCGCACCCGGCCACCCAAUGCCAUUCUAAGAGUUCGGGGAAGAAGAAGAGUUGGCAUUGAGUGGGUCCUGGAAGGCAAGCUCUGGUGGGGCUGUGGGGAAGCCAGAGUGGGGCAUGGACCUGCCUAAGGUCACACAGCAAGCAAGUAUGAGACAGCAGCAGGGCUGGGACCUGGAGCUCCCAGUGUAUCAUGCCUUCUUGCACCUUGCAGCCAGCUGUGGGGCCCCUGCGACUGUGCUGUUUUCAAGGACACACGGUCCCAGAUGCCUCCACAAUUCUGAGCUGUUCAAUGAGUGGCUCUGGUCCUUCUCCCCCCUCUAUUAAAAUGGAAAAAAGAAAGAAAGAAAGAAAGAAAUCCAGGCAUUGUUCCUGACUGCAGCUGGUGCCAACCAGAAUCCCACUGAACAGAAUGGAGCCGAGAGCCCGGCUGCCCAGGGGCCUGGCUGCUGACACAGGGCCUUUCUAUUUUGCUUUCCACUGGGGGCCCAGGCUGACGGUGCAGCCCCUCCACGGACACCCUCUCCACCUGCCUCCCUGGCCCUGGCUCUGAGCCUCCUGCUGCCUUCACCCUCUUUGCAAAAAUCAGAUGGCACUUGGGGGAGGGUUGGAGGAGCACCCCCACCCCCUGCUUUCCUUCUUCAUCCACUCACAGCCUGGGGUGCGCUGGGCCUCCCUCCCCGCCAGCCUGUCCUCCCACCCUACCAGGAGGGGACUUGGGAUGCUUGUCUGGGAGAGCGACACAAAUCCCUCUUCCAAAAUCGUUUGAAACACUUGUCUGAUUCUAGGACAUAUGAGGAUUUUCCACCCCACCCCCACCUGACUUGGCAGGUGCCAGUCCUCAGCUCACACAUUAAGGCCUCUUGCAAUAGUGAAGGUCUUGUGGGGGAAAGGGGAACAUGAUGAACAGCUCUACAGAGACAAAAACAGUUUUUUAAGUUGCUAGUUUGCCUUCUGCCUUUGGUCUUAGGAGGAAAAAGGACUUCUCCAACUCUCCCUUACCAUCUUCAUUUCAUCCUCUGCUUCCUGCCCCUUUCGUGAGCUGUCUGGUACUCAGACCUCCUCUCCACAGGCUAUUGGCUAGUUUGACCCAGAUUACCCCAAGCAGCAGUUCUAAGAGAGCAGCAUCCUGGCCACUGUCCAGUGUCCACCAGGGACCCUUGGGUUGGCACUGCCACCACAGCCAGCUCUCCUGGCACCCCCUUCCUCCUGUGGACACAGCUCUUUAGUUUGUAAAAAGUACUUGACGUCUCACGCAAGUGCCACAGCAGCCUCAAGAGGCAGGCAGGGAUUGCUAACCCACUUCGUAGAAGAAUAAACUAAGGGUUCAGGAGGCAUAAUGGUUUGGCCAAGGUCAAAGGAGGUGACAGAGUUGGGAUUUGAACCCUGGUCUCUUGAUUCCAUGUCACUAAGCUGCAGUGGGGACUCAGGAAGUGACGGUGUCAGAGGAUGACAUUCCCAGCCCCCACCACCUCCACCCGACCAAAUGCUGCCAGGAGACAGGAUCUCAGACACAUCGAUUCCUUUAAGGAAUAUUUAUUAAAUACUUGCUGUAUGCCAGAUCUCCAACAGUGAACAAAACAGAUUUGGUCCACACUGCUGCAGAGCUUAUAUUCUGAGACAGACACCAGACUUCGUGCAGAAAGAUCCCCCUCUUCCUAGUUGCCCAGCCCAUAUGUCCUAGAAGGAACCGUGAGAUGGGCAGCCAGAGACAUAAGUUCUAGUCCUAGCAUUGCCCCUGACUCUCCAUGUCACCUUGGACCGAGUUUUCCACCUGAGAAAUCCAAGCAUGUGGCCCCUCACACAUUUUCUCAGGUCUCUUCCCUACUCCCAGUCUCUGGGUCUAGUGGUUCAUGAUUUCCCGGCAUGAAUUAUCCUGAUUUAGUUUUUUUUCUUAAACCCGACUUUUCCUAGGCUCUUAGAGCCAGAACAGGGCUUCUGAGAUCAUUUGCUCUGAGCCCUUCACUAAGAAAGAACCCCUUAGCCUCGUUCCUGCCAGGAGGAGACUGUCUUUGCUUGUACUCUUCCAGGGACGGGCUGCUUGCUCCCUCACAUAGCAGACCUCUGCCAGUGGUGUGCUGGUAAAUGUUUAACAGCUGGCUCCCCAAAGUGGGGAGAACCUGGUUUGUAGUAUUUGCCGAUGUCUACGGUGUAAAUACCCCCACCAUGGCCAGUUUCAAGCUGCCGACCAGAGCCAGCUGGCACAGCUGGUUGGUUCCAUCAACCAGCUCGCGCAGUUCCUGAAAAUUUAACAAUCGGCCCUUGUGAGCCAUAUGAACAGGCUCCAACACACCAUUUCCCCUGCCCCGCAGAGAAGUCUUGUCUAGCUUUACUCAUUGGGAAGUUCUUUCUGGUAUUGAGCAAAACAUCUGAUUGUCAGGAACUCUGGCCUGAAAGUCCUGAACUACUUCUCUGGGGUGUCACAGGACAAUGGGGACCCCAUGAAGGCCUUCUCUAAUUGGUGGCAGCUCUUGACUAUGUCUUCCUGUGAGAGGAGCAAGUUCCUGGGCCAAAUGGGGUCAGAGCAUAGCCACCCUCCCAUUCUGCCUUUCUCUCUCCCUCUUCACCUCCCUUCCUUCCUCUCUUUCUUUCACAAAUAUUUCCUGGGCCCCUGUGACAAUGUCAGACACUGCUAGAUACUGUGGAUUCAGCGACCCAUGUCUUAGCUUGCGCAGAGAUGCUGCCCACUCUGUGAAGCCUGUCCUGACCCCCACCCUAGCCCCUCCCGCAGUGGGCAGUCUCCUCCCCUCCCAGAGCCUUUAUCGCCCCUGUUUGGCACUUAUCACUUUCUACCUGGGAUUGCAGCUAUUUGUGUACACGGCUUAUCUCCCUGCCAGACUGAGAGGCAACGUGGGCCUGUUGAAAGAGCGUGGACUUUGGAGCCGCAUGACCUGGCCCUCAAUCCCAACCCUGCGACUCAGAGCUGUGAGCCCUCGGGGAGCUCACAACACCUUUGGGAGCCUCAGUUUCCUUAUCUGUAAAGUGGGGAUGGUGAUAACUACUUCCAAUGUGGUUUUGAGCAACUGGUAGGAUUAGAAAUGUCAACCCCAUUUCCUGCUCCUGUCUGGACUCCCAUCCUCUUGGGGACAGAGAUUGUGUGCAAUACUUCUCUGUAGCCUCCUGGUAAUAAUAACAUAACAAUAUUAAUAACAAUGACCAACACUUACACAGCAAUACCAUACAUAAGGUAAGAGCUUACAUAUGUUAGCUCAUUCAUUCUCACAACCUUGUGGCAUUGGAAGCAUUAUUCCCAUUAACAGAUGAGCAAUCUGAGGCACAGAGGGGUUAGGUAACAAGCCCAAGGUCACACAGCUAGUGAGUGAGAGAGCUGAGAUUUGAAUCCAAGAAAAUCCACCUCAAAGCCUUAGCUAUUGAAUAGUAUGGCUUCUGGAGGGGUGUGAGUGUAUGUGCCCAUGGUUCACUGCAGCCUUUGAGCAUCCUUGCCCUGACCUGCAGGGUGGGGGUGGAGUGAUACAAGGAAGACCCUGGUCUGCGCAUUAGGACAUCCUAACAGGUGAGUGGUUAGUGCUGAAGAAAGGAGUGUCCCCAGGUAUCUGGAGGCCAGGGGACUAGAAGGUGAUAAUCAAUAAGGCAAUCAGAGGAGGCUUCCCGGAGAGGUGGCGCUUGCCACCAAAUGAGGAUGGACAAGGCAGGGCGAACAGGAGGACCAAAAUUGUAGACAUGGGAGAGGUAUAUUAGGGUUUCACCUAGGUGUCAGACUAGACAUAUUCACUGGUUCUGGUGGGUGGGAUGGAGCAGAGACUGUGAACUUGGGGAGGGGCAUGUUGGUUUCCCAGUCUGUGAUUCAAUAGGGAAUGGAGGACAUUUUCAGGGGCCUUGAGAGCCAGUGCAGGCCCAGGAGAGCUGAGAGUCACCUGUGCUGCCCUCGGGGCCAUAUUGGCAUUUUGCUUCUCUGCAAGCUACUCUGAGAUUCCAAAGUCCUGGGUUCCCGAAUUCAGCUGUGCCAGUCCCAUCCCUCCAUUUCUUCAAGCCUCAAUUUCUCCAGUUCAGAAUGGGCAUAAAGGGUGGACCUUGCAUGCCGAUUAAAGGAUGAGAUAGGGCUGUGUGGGGAUGGGCCUGACGCUCCUGGGGCAGGAAAUGGGGGAAAGGUACUGCGGGGAGGGAGAGUGGGAAGCUGGGAGAGAAGGAGGUGGUGCGAGGAGCCCUGUGUGCUUGGCCAGUGAAUCCAGGUCUGCUAAGCUGGCCCUAGCUGGGAUUCUUCCAGCACCCCAUACUGCAUUUUCCCAAGGCUGCCUGACUCUGCUGCCUCAAAGCAGUCUUCCUCCUGGGCUUCUGCAAGGAUAGUUCUGGGUUAGAUCCUGUUCCUCUGGCCAACCCAGUUGAGCCCAGCCAUGUCCCUUGGAGAGCACUCUUCAUGUUCCAAGGGCUGUUUUAAAUGCUCUUCCCUCAUACUAACUAGUUCAGUCCUCACAGCCACGCUGUGAGUUCCCUCAUUUCACAUAAGGAAACUGAGGCACAGAGAGGGUAAGCCAGGUGUUCCACAGGGUUCCACGGCAGGGAAGGCGAAGUCUAAGGGAUGGGAAUAGCCCAUGGAGCCAGGAAGGCGGGCCCAAGGGAUGGGCCUCUGAACCGCCUUCUCACCCUUUCUGUAUGGGAAAUUAUGACCAUUGUGAGUCGUCCCUCUCACACGUUUCUUUUCUGCUCAUCUCAAGGUUCUCAGGUAGCUGCAGAACCACAAUUGACAUCCCUCUGCCCAUACAGGCGCCUACAUGUCCACACACUCAACACCAUGGCUGCCCAACGUCUCAUAGGCACAAGGCUCACACUUUUGCACACACAACCAUCAAUUCAGAGCCACAAAUGCAUCUGCAGGCACCACACCCACCCUGCCGCAGAUGCACACAUAGGGCACGUGUGGGCUUUGGGCCUCAGACUGACAACCAAGCACCAACAAGUCCCAUUCCCAGAAUGACGGAUACACACCCACGCGUUCACACGGGCUCCAGUGUGCCUGACACGACAUGGUGGGGUCUGUGGACUCACAGUGCACCCCCUGGACCCAUGUCCAGGCUCCAGCCUCUGCAGAUGUCCCUUCUGCCCAGGUGCCUUCAUUCCUAUCCCUUCAAGACUACGGCUCUGGAAUGUGUGCACAGCGGAUCCGCUUCUCAUGGCAGGUCCCUGCCCUGCCGUCUUCUGUAAGAACUGGGCCUCAGGUGUGUGGUAGGGGAUUGGGGUAAAAGGUGACCCUUCCUGCAACCCUGGCAGGCUCCCUGGGCUGCAGAAGGGACAGCAGGGAGAGGAGAGUGAAUUAAUCCUGGCCUCCCUUCUUGGGUUCACUGUCAUGCUAAUUUUCUCCGCCUUUGAUCCAUCUCUCUAGCCCCAGCCCCUAACUCUGAGCAGGAGCAGGCGCUGGGUCUGGCCUGAGAUUAGGGGCUGCCUUGGUGAGGCCUGGGGCACAUCCUUCCAUGUGGCAGACUGGGGUUUCGCCCUUGGGAGGGGCUUGGGGGAUUAUAGCCCUGGUUACUGACCUGCUGUGGGCAACACACUCUCCUUCACCAGACUCAUCCUCUUUCUUCCUGACCGACCUUCUCCUCUCCAAAGGGGGCUCUGCUGUUCCCAUUUUGCACAAGAGCAGAGUGAGGCCCAGGGUUGAAAGGUCUCCGGAGGCUUCUGGCCACUGAGAGGUGGAGCCAGGCUGGGAGCACACAUCUUCCAGACUCCAACCCCGCCCUGUUUCCGUGGUGGGUCUUCGUUCUGGUGAUUUUUUUGAAACCAGCAUCUACGGCGUAUUCAUGACAUGCCAGGGACUGCGCCUUAACAUACAUUGCCUCAUGCAGUCCUCAGCAAUGCUCUUAUGAGUCCCACUUUAUAGGUGGGGAAAGAGUCCUGUGUAACUAUCUGGUGAGUGGUGAAGUCUGACCAAAUCCAGGACACAGGUGGCCAAAGUCCCCUCCCUGUAGGGGGUGACACUGAGACCCAGGCAGGGGAAGGACAUGCCCAAUCCCACACAGAGAGGGAAUUGGCUGGACAUGCAUCUCCUACCUUCCUGUAUGCUCCAUCUGGUUCCAGAAAUGACUGGACUCUUCUAUGGACCCAGUGGAGCUCAGACAAGGGUCCAGGCCCUGACACUGCCCCAGAGCAGGGGUGCCAGCACCUAUGAGGAUGCCAAGCUCAGGUCAUCGCCCUGCGGUGUCUCAGCCAACUGGGCCUCGAACAGCCCCAUAAACUUGGACAUAAACACAAUUAAAGUUUUUUAUUACAUUAUAUUUUGUACAUAUAAAAGACUAUUUGUAAGCCAUGAAACAUUACAAUGAAUGCUCAUGACUACUCUGCUGAAGAACUAGAGUAUUAGGGACACUUGUGAAGCUCCGACCUUCCCAGCCCCCUACUUCCCAGAAGGAGCCACUAUCCUAAUUGUCAUUACUCUCUGCUGUUUUUGUUUGUUUGUUUUUUAAGGAGUCUCAUUCUGUUGCCCAGGCUGGAGUGCAGUGGCGUGAUCUCGGUUCACUGAAACCUCUGCCUCCUGAGUUCAAGCGAUUCUCCUGCCUUAGCCUCCUGUGUAGUUGGGAUUACAGGUGUGCACCACCACGCCAGGCUAAUGUUUUGUAUUUUUAGUAAUGAUGAGGGUUCACCAUGUUGGCCAGGCUGGUCUCAAACUCCUGACCUCAGGUGAUCCACCCACCUCGCUUCCCAAAGUGCCGGGAUUACAGGCAUGAGCUACCACGCCCAGCCUCUCCCUGCCUCUUUUUAACAGAAAGUUUUAGCACCUGUGUGGAGACCCCUUCACUCACUGCACUUUUUUUUUUUUAAGAGGUGGGAUCUCACUCUGUCACCUACACCCGAGUGCAGUGAUGUGAUCCUGGCUCAUUAUAGCCUUGAUCUCCUGGCUCAAGCGAUCCUCCCACCUCAGCCUCCCAAAUAGCUGGGACUGCAGGUGCAUGCCACCAUGCCCAGCUAAUUUUUUUUUAAUUUUUAUGCAAAGACAGGGUCUUGCUAUGUUGCCCAGGCUGGCCUCAAACUCCUGGCCUCAAACAGUGCUCCCGUCUCAGCCUCCCAAAGUGCUGGCAUUACAAGUGUGAGCCACCACAUCCAGCUGCUAACUGCACUUUUGAGAUGUUGCAUUCUAUUCUGCACUCCCAAUUAUUCAUUCCCAGGGGAAGUGCAUUAUUUAAAGGGAUAGAGAGAGAACUUGGAGGAGCCACUUGCACCCCAUGUGCCUCUUCGCUUCAGUGCUGUGAGUGCUCUGUUUGGCCCCCUCAUUCCAGUGAGUGCCCUGAAACAGGACAUUUCUUCCUGGUACGGCCAGUAGAAGGAGGGUGGGGGCCUUCCGGCAGCUGGGCAUUCUCUGAACAUGGCAUGCUGCCUUGCAUUUGCGUAAGCCAUUCCUCCACCUGGAAUUCCCUUCGCUAGACUGUUGUGGGAACCCAGUUCCUUCUUCCAGGUCCAACUCCAAGGUUUCGUUCUGGAGAUGCCUUCCCUGUGACCCCUUGCCCCUCUCCCCCAGCAGAGCUGGAUCUGUCCUCUUCUCCCCUGACAGAGUUUUGGGCAUCCUUCUAUCAGCCCUUAUCCCAGGGCAGGAAGAACAGCCUUGAUCCUGGAUCCCAGGCACAGCUGGGUGUCAGACCUGGAGGAGAAGCUCCCAGAGUGACCAAGAUAGAAUCGGCAUGCAGGUGACAGCAGAUGGGCAUCCCUGUGAAACCCCAUGGGCCUGGACCUCCAGGGUCCUAGCCAGUUUGCUCCAAGUUCUGUGUGGACUGGGGAUUUGGAGGCAAGUCUGUGGGGAGACUGCCUGGGGCUUGUGCCUGCUGUUUACCUGUCUGCUGUUCAGGCACAUGAUCAGGCCAGUGGGUGUGCCCAAAGGUGGGCGUGGUUGCAGGAGUGCUCACGUUCAUACACGUGUUUACACACACGUGUGCAUACACGGGGUGCCAAGGCUAUAGGUCUUGCGAAGCAUGCAGGGCCACUGCCUUUUCCUGCUUUUAACCCCCCUCCUGGACAGGCCUGUGUUCUCUCUGAACAUCUCACAGUGCACAUUUAUGGAGUGCCUGCUGUGUGCAAGACCUGAGGGGUUGGGGCAGAGCAGUGCGCAGGGCAGCUGGCCCCUAGGGGACAGGAAUGACUGAGCACUCACACAGUGUCUUUCUGUCCUGGUCCCCCUGCACAGGAGCCCCCAAGGCCAGGCACCCCCGCCUCUACUUCCCAGAGGAGGACUUUGAGGUCCUGAUGCCUGAGAGGGGCACCUGUUGAGUCAACAGAGGGGACGGACAAUGAGACCAGCAGUCCGGUGCUCAAUUCUCCAUCCUAAGUGCCAGAAACCCCUACUUCAAGAGAAAACUGGCAUUGACAGGGCCCACCCAGAAUCCUCUCCUGCACCCUCCUUUCCCCUACUGGAAACCACACUUUUUGGGGGGCAUUUCCCUGGGCAUCCUGUAGGAGGGCAUCACAGCUGUUAGCAGCAGGAGGAAUUAAGGGAAGCUCUGACCUGAGUUAGACUGGACCGUGUAGGACAGCACUACCCCAUGUCUGAACUGGGGACCGGGCCACCCCUCCCCCAACACACAUACCACACACACGCAUGCACACAUACACACAUACACACACAUGCACACAUGCCCAGAGAGGUGAUGGGAGUUGCCUAAGGAUGCCCAUGGCGAGUGCUGGCCCUCUCCCUCCCAGACCCAGUUUGUUCCUUUAACUCAGGCUGCCCACUUUCCUGUCUCUUCUUGCCCUCCCCGCCCCCCGCCCCCCGAGUCUGAGAAUUAGGACCCUGGUGGCUGAGGAGGAUGAUCUGAGGCAUGAUCAGGUGCUCCCUUCUGGGCCACUAUUGGCCCACCCUUAAGGUGGCAGGAUGACAUGGAGUUUCGGCCAGCGUGAAUAUAGGGGCUGGAGGAUCCCUGUCUUUCCUUGCCUGGCACCCAAAUGCAACCUGGAAGACCCUGAGUGAAGGCCCCUUUCUGGGAAGAGGAUGGCAUUAUGGCAUGGCCAUUAGAAUCUUUGGCUAUGGACACUGUGACAGCCCAGGGCAGAAUCCAGGAUUCCUCACUUCUAGCUGUGGGCUGUGGGCAGGAGGCUUCAUCCUGCUGAAUCUUAGUCCCUAACCUGUACCGAAAAGAUGAACAUACUUCAUGAUGUUUGGAGAGGGAGGCAUUGUCUCGGAUCAGGGCCCAGGAAAUGGCAGUUGGGGUGGUCAGUGCUUAUUCUUGUAAGCAAGAAUGUGUGGCCAAGCCAAGUUGUGUCCAGAACACCUGGACCCACAGGAUUUGGGCCUGCCUCGUGGCCCCAGGAUUUCGAACCCAAAUUCCAGUCCUGACAUUGCCUCACCAGCUGGUUGGCCUUGGGCAUGUCCCUGGCUGCCUCUGGCUGCAACAGCCUCAGCCCCAAAUGAGCACAUCAAUCCCAGGGUCACAUGGAGGACAGAAUAACCAAUGAGACAUCAGAAGGGCCUUGCAAAUCACAAGGCUUGUGUCCCUUUUGGGGAUGCUGGAGGGAGGAACAGGUACCUACCAACUCUCAGUGGGUCCCUUGUGCACUCACACCCAGCGUUCUGGCCUCCAGUCAGGCUGAGAGGUGCACUUCCCCCAUACAGGGGAGAGCUGCACUCAUUUGGGGACCCUCUCCCGAGCCCUGCCCCUGCCCUCCCCGCCAGGCCCCCAGCAGCCAGGUUGGAGAGCUCUCACUCAGGGAGUCUGAGUCCCCUUUGAAGCUGGGAAGUUUGCACUGGAGGGGCAAAGGCAGCCUGCAUUCAAAGCAUCUCUCCUGGCCCUUAAUUACCCUUCUUCACCCAUAGGUGGAAUUUCCACUCAAAGAGCUAAGAAAUGCACCCGUGCUGCCGCCAGGGACUGGGUUUCCCUGCUGCCUUUGUGUAGCAGCCGCCAGCGCGGCAGUGGCACACAGCUCGGGUUUCUGAUUUUAAUGAUUUCCUGAAUUCAUUCCGUUUCCUACCUCAGGGAAAGGAGAAGAGGUGAUCCUCUUGGAAAUUCACAUAAUUGCUUUUAUUUGAUUUUUAUUAAAAUGCAUUCAGGAAUAAUGUGAUUGCCCCCUUUAUUAGAUUGUUCAUCAAGCUGGCAUGGGGAAUCAGCCUAGAAAAAAGUGGUGGGCACAGGAGCCUGGUGUGUGAUGGGGAGCGGGCACAGUCCCGCGGCGGCCUUGGGGGCUUGCCUCUCACUGGGGGAGUCACGCCUGCCUCUGAGCCUCCCGCUGCUCCUGUCUGGGGAGGUGGGCCCACUGCAGGGCGUGUUGGAAGAAUGAAAGCUGGCAGUCAGUGUGGAAGGCCGUGAGCACCGUCUAAAUCCCCUCCACAUCCCAACCCACUCCUCCUCUGUUGCUCCUCUGCCCACCUCUGAGGCCACACACAGGCUGACACGGAGACCCGUGGUGAUCUGGCAUAGCAGCACUGACCCCACACUCGCCUCCGCACUCCCAGUUGCCUGUACUUCUACGAUGGCCUUUUUGCCAGUCUUGCUGUCCUCAGGCUCAAGGUCCUCAGUGCAGUUUUCUGUGGCCCACCUAAUCACACCACUCCCCUGUUCAGAAACUUGGUGGCUCCCAAAGACCCCUUUCUUGCCGGAGACUUUUGCUUUGGGUUCCUUUGCACGCGCUGGAAGGUGAAAAUAAUCCAGACCUCUUAGACCUAGUUUCAGUGCUUGAAUUGCUUUGCAUGGUGGGAUGUGGGUGAAGCUGCCUUGCCUCUCCUAGUCUCAGUUUAUUGGUUCAAAUAAUGGGAACUCCAAGACCUUCCGUAGGGUCAGUGAGAAAAUGGAGUACAGGGGGUCUGUAACUCAGGCGGCAUGUACGUGUGUGGGUGAAAUCGUGCCACGUGACCCUGUGUUGCAGGAGGCUGAAGAUGCUUAGCAAAUAUGUGGGGAGAAGGCAGGGCAGGUCCAGCGCUGGCCCCAGCAGAGGCCACAGACCAGCUGAGCAGCCACUGUGACAGGGACAGUUUUAUUCUGAGCACCCCUACUCCCAUUUUCUGUAGCCCCUCCCCUCCUCCCAAUGCAAGAGUGGAGCUGACUUUCACUGCGCUCAGUGAAUUUGCCUCUCACCUUCUGGGGGGUUUUGCAGUUUCCAGAAGAGGGGCACAAAUAUGUUCACUGGGCUUCCAGGAAGUGCCUCACCCUCUGAGCUCACCAUGUCUCCAGACUGCCCAAGGCAUGUUUUAUUACCCUUGAGAUAUGGUGAAAUACAUAUUUGUUUCCCCCUCCUCCCAUCCCAUUUCCUGGCAUAGGACUCCUAAAAUCCUUGGACUCUCCAAAGUGAUAAGUUUCUUUUUGUAUGCUAAUGAGUUGAUUGCUGGCUGGCUGCUCCUAGGACACUUCAGGAUGUGGGCUGGUCACCAGAAAGACCAAGGAUUAGAGGGUUGGGGCUUCCAGCCCCACCUCCCCCAUCUGGGGGUGGGUGGGGAGAAGGGCUGAAGGUUGAGUUGAUCACCAAUGGCCAAUGUUUUAAUCAAUCAUGACUACAUAAUGACAUCGCCAUAAAAACGCAACAAAUCUGGGUUCCGGGAGCCUCCAGACAGCUGAACGUUUGGAGGCACUUGGAAGGUGGCACUCCAAGAGAGGGCAUGGGAGCACCCCUUCCGGACCUCGCCCUGUGCCUCUCUUCAUCUGGAUGUUUAUUUGUAUCCUUUAAAAUAUCUUUUGUUAUAAACCAGUAAACAUUUUUCCAAGAGUUCUGUGAGCCGCUCGGGCAAAUUAAUCAGACCCAAGCAGGGGGUUGUGGGAACCCCGAUUCAUAGACGAACGGUCAGAAGCACAGGCAGAAUAACCUGGGGUUUGCGGUGGGCAUCAGAAGUGGGGCUCAGAGUUAGGGGACUGAAUCCUCACCCUGUGGGAUCUGAUGCUAUCUCCAGGUGGAUGGUGUUUGAAGUGAAUUGAAUUAGGGGACACCCAGCUGGCAUCUGCUGCAGAACUGAUGACUCGCUUGCUGGUGGGCAGAAAUCUCCAUAAUCUUUCUUUAGCAGAUGAGGUCACUGAGGCUCAGAGAGGGUAAGUGACUUGUUUAGGGCUGUCUAGCUAGGAUGUGGAGGCUUGGGGACAAGGCCUCUUGGGCACAUACAACUAGGAUGGGCAGGUGACUCCCUGCCACCAGGGGAGUUGGUGAAAUGCUUCGCAGGGCUGAGGUUGAGCAAGUGGGCAGUGCCUGGAGAAGCCAAUCUGCAUCCUUGGUGUGGGUAGGCCUUGAGGGUAUUUGAAGCAGGCCCUCUGCCUGGGGCGGUCUGCCCCUGCUGGCUGGGCUGCACAGAGAGUCAGGGAGGCAUGGGAGCAUAGCCAUCCACUUUCAGAGCCCCAUCU
This 16352-nucleotide long non-coding RNA is filed under the name Homo sapiens (human). RNAcentral's name for it is "non-protein coding ZMIZ1-AS1:31". The record is from RNAcentral. Lineage: Eukaryota; Metazoa; Chordata; Mammalia; Primates; Hominidae.